UUGAGAAUAGGUGACAAGAGGUCAAAGGGUCAAGGGAGCAAACCAAUAGAAGUUUCAGUCAAAGUAGUAGUAUUUCUAUAGGUUAGUCAACUCAAACUGAGAUUGGGUCGACUAAGUCAUAAGUAAGUCGAUCCAGUCUCAGUCUGGGUCAACUAUGUCUCAGAGGAGGUUCCAGACAGAAAGCUGUAUUUUGAAAGUUUCAAGCCAGCAUGCUGGUGAAUUGACUCAUCUC
Molecule: long non-coding RNA, 232 nt
Filed under: Elaeis guineensis (African oil palm)
Lineage: Eukaryota; Viridiplantae; Streptophyta; Magnoliopsida; Arecales; Arecaceae
Description: long non-coding RNA (EGUI_LNC033459)
Source: RNAcentral